This 253-nucleotide ribosomal RNA is filed under the name uncultured bacterium. Its description in RNAcentral is "partial 16S ribosomal RNA". It matches the Rfam family "Bacterial small subunit ribosomal RNA", at positions 524 to 776 of the family's 1533-position model. The record is from RNAcentral.
UACGGGGGGGGCAAGCGUUGUUCGGAAUUACUGGGCGUAAAGGGGUUGUAGGCGGCCAACUAAGUCCGACGUGAAAUCCCAAGGCUUAACCUUGGAACUGCGUCGGAUACUGGAUGGCUUGAAUUCGGGAGAGGGAUGCAGAAUUCCAGGUGUAGCGGUGAAAUGCGUAGAUAUCUGCAGGAACACCCGUGGCGAAAGCGGCGCGCUGGACCACUACUGACGCUGAGGAACGAAAGCGUGGGGAGCGAACAGG